RNAcentral lists this transfer RNA (72 nucleotides) under Hordeum vulgare. RNAcentral's name for it is "tRNA-OTHER". The record is from RNAcentral. Lineage: Eukaryota; Viridiplantae; Streptophyta; Magnoliopsida; Poales; Poaceae.
GAUUGUGUAGCGUAGUGGUAGGGUGCGGUGUUGUUGGUACCGUGGUCAUGGGUUCGAGUCCCAGAGGCGCCC